Molecule: ribosomal RNA, 253 nt
Filed under: uncultured bacterium
Lineage: Bacteria
Description: partial 16S ribosomal RNA
Rfam family: Bacterial small subunit ribosomal RNA
Source: RNAcentral
UACGUAGGGGGCUAGCGUUGUCCGGAAUCAUUGGGCGUAAAGCGCGUGUAGGCGGUCCGGUAAGUCCGCUGUGAAAGUCGGGGGCUCAACCCUCGGAUGCCGGUGGAUACUGUCGGGCUUGAGUACGGAAGAGGCGAGUGGAAUUCCUGGUGUAGCGGUGAAAUGCGCAGAUAUCAGGAGGAACACCAAUAGCGAAGGCAGCUCGCUGGGACGGUAUUGACGCUAAGGCGCGAAAGCGUGGGGAGCAAACAGG